Passer domesticus (house sparrow) is the source of this 1577-nucleotide long non-coding RNA. RefSeq lists it as uncharacterized. NCBI's taxonomy places the organism in Eukaryota, Metazoa, Chordata, Aves, Passeriformes, Passeridae. The record is from RefSeq and is a predicted model, not a curated record. The transcript has 3 exons.
GCGUUCAUUAUCCACGUGUCCCAGCAGGAAGAGAGGGCAGCUUUCCGGGGACUGAGGACUUCUUCUCUCCAGGAGCUGGCACAGCUCCAGGUCCAAAGAGCAAAGUGGAGCUGCCGAGCCUGUCCCCGUGCGGGAGAAACCCUGCUCCCCUCAGCCCCUGUGAGCUGCACAUCCCAACCUCCUCCUUUCAUCCCUGCUUCUGGCUUAAUCCCAUCACAGCCUAGAAAGAAGUUGGGAAAGGAAGAGGAUUUCUGCUUGAAAGGAGAAAGAAAGGAGAGGAGUUGUAAAAGCCGGGGAUGGAGGAGGGAACAGAAACAUCCUUCUUUCAAGGAAAAGAUGCUGUGGCUGCUGUUCUGGGUACCAUAUGCCAGCUACAUCUUUGGAUUAAAGAGGCCUUAGAAAUACAAAGUAUGAUUAUCCAGGACACAGCAAUUUAAAUUGAACAAGAAAUUUUCAAGAAAUACAGGUAUGCAUGGCAGGACAUGAAAGAUGGACAAAUUUAGUUGCAAGCAUUUAAGAGCAAAGGAAAUUAAGGGUGUGGGACCUGGGGCUGUGGUGGAUUCCUCAUCAACUGCAGUCUUUAAUCAAGUUGUUUCUCUUUUUUUUUUUGGGUGCAUUUAAUAGAGGCUUCUAAAACGGUGUGCUGGGGCUUUAGUGAAUUGGUGGGCAUUGUUUGGGGAUUACAGGGUGGGGCUCUGUGGGAGAGAAGACAUCAGAGGACACCAUCCCUCCUGGCCUUGGCUCAGCAAGCCUGUUCCUGCCCACCUUGGGAAAGAUCCACCUGCAAACACCACCUCGGAAAUCCUGGAUAAAUUGUUUGGGUGUGCUCAGGUGCAAAGAGAAAAGCACCAAACCUUGUGGCACCCCUGGCUGUGGCAGGGCUGUGACUGCCCUGCCAGGGCACUGUUCCUCUGGAGGGACUGGGGAGAAAACACACAUGAAAAAAUAAAUUAAAAAAAAAAAAACCUAGAAUCCUAGGUUAAUUUUUUCCUUAAGAAAGGACCUUAAAGGUUCUCUAGUCCAACCCCUUGCCAUGGGCAGGACAGCUUUCACCAGCCCAGGUUGCUCCAAGCCCUGUCUAACCAAGCCUUGGACACUUCCAGGGAUUCUCUCUGCACAGACAAGAGUUUUUGGUUUUAAUAGACGUGGGUUUGUAGGAAUGAAUGUUGUUUCUUUUGCCGAGGAAGUUUGGACCUUGUGAUCCCUGGGGUCUCUGCAAACUGGAAUUCUGUGCCCCCUCACAGUGCUGGCAAGCCCAGAGACCAGGUAACACAUAUGAUGGCCACAAGCAGCUAAGAUACUUCCAUAAUAUAUAAGGAGGUUUCUGUUUACCAUUUUUAGCAUUAAAUUGUAGUUUUUCUGUGUCUUUGCCUUUUGCUGCCUGAUUCCUGUGUGGUCAAAGAGCAUGGCAGAGGUGCUGGUACACCAUAUCCACAUAAUAUGUGGGAAUAUACUAAGAAGAAUGGAGGAAGGAUCCACAUAAUGUAAGGGAAAACAUACAGGAAGGAAUUCUUGGCUGUGAGGAUGGGCAGACCCUGGCACAGGGUGCCCAGAGAAGCUGUGGCUGUCCCUGGAUC